Molecule: ribosomal RNA, 497 nt
Filed under: uncultured bacterium
Lineage: Bacteria
Description: partial 16S ribosomal RNA
Rfam family: Bacterial small subunit ribosomal RNA
Source: RNAcentral
GAUGAACGCUGGCGGCGUGCCUAAUACAUGCAAGUCGAGCGAACAGACGAGGAGCUUGCUCCUCUGACGUUAGCGGCGGACGGGUGAGUAACACGUGGAUAACCUACCUAUAAGACUGGGAUAACUUCGGGAAACCGGAGCUAAUACCGGAUAAUAUAUUGAACCGCAUGGUUCAAUAGUGAAAGACGGUUUUGCUGUCACUUAUAGAUGGAUCCGCGCCGCAUUAGCUAGUUGGUAAGGUAACGGCUUACCAAGGCAACGAUGCGUAGCCGACCUGAGAGGGUGAUCGGCCACACUGGAACUGAGACACGGUCCAGACUCCUACGGGAGGCAGCAGUAGGGAAACUUCCGCAAUGGGCGAAAGCCUGACGGAGCAACGCCGCGUGAGUGAUGAAGGUCCUCGGAUCGUAAAACUCUGUUAUUAGGGAAGAACAAAUGUGUAAGUAACUAUGCACGUCUUGACGGUACCUAAUCAGAAAGCCACGGCUAACUACGUG